GGACAUUUGUGAAUGCAAAAUACAGAAGAAAUUGAGAACUGAGUUAUUUCUAUUGUGUUGCUUCUGGCAAAUACUUUCUAAGAAAGGGAAAACAAAAUACUGCCGAGGAGGUGUUUCUUCCUGCAUCAAAGUCAUCCUUUGGCAGAUUGGGCGGAGAACACCACAUUGUUUAUUUGGUGAGGUCUGUGUAAAUGAGAAUUAAAGGUGGGAAAAAUAUUUUUCUUUAAUAUUUUUACUGAACAUUCACUUUUCAUUUUGUUCAUAGCAACUGAGCAAAGGGUUGGGUUUUGGUAUUCCUGGGUUUUCUUCCAGCUUGAAAUUGCAAAACCUAAAAUCGCAAAUGCAAGAAAGAAACAAAAACCGUCCAGAGAGGCUGGAGCAGUGGAAAGGGAGGAGGAAAGGCAUUUUCCCCCAGUCUGCUGUGUCCUUGAGGAAAUUCUGGAGG
RNAcentral lists this long non-coding RNA (445 nucleotides) under Junco hyemalis (dark-eyed junco). RNAcentral describes it as "lncRNA (ENSJHYG00000017567.1)". The record is from RNAcentral. Lineage: Eukaryota; Metazoa; Chordata; Aves; Passeriformes; Passerellidae.